GAUGAACGCUGGCGGCGUGCUUAACACAUGCAAGUCGAACGGGAAACCUUUUAAUGAAGCUUCGGCAGAUUUAGCUGGUUUCUAGUGGCGGACGGGUGAGUAACGCGUGGGUAACCUGCCUUAUACAGGGGGAUAACAGUCAGAAAUGACUGCUAAUACCGCAUAAGCGCACAGGACCGCAUGGUCCGGUGUGAAAAACUCCGGUGGUAUAAGAUGGACCCGCGUUGGAUUAGCUUGUUGGUGGGGUAACGGCUCACCAAGGCGACGAUCCAUAGCCGGCCUGAGAGGGUGAACGGCGACAUUGGGACUGAGACACGGCCCAGACUCCUACGGGAGGCAGCAGUGGGGAAUAUUGCACAAUGGGGGAAACGCUGAUGCAGCGACGCCGCGUGAAGGAAGAAGUAUCUCGGGAAGUAAACUUCUAUCAGCAGGGAAGAUAGUGACGGUACCUGACGAAGAAGCCCCGGCUAACUACGUG
This 478-nucleotide ribosomal RNA is filed under the name uncultured bacterium. Its description in RNAcentral is "partial 16S ribosomal RNA". It matches the Rfam family "Bacterial small subunit ribosomal RNA", at positions 28 to 507 of the family's 1533-position model. The record is from RNAcentral.